GACGAACGCUGGCGGCGUGCCUAAUACAUGCAAGUCGAACGCACUCUCGUUUCUAUUAAAGUACUUUGCUCCUGAUUGAUAAACUUUUGAGUGAGUGGUGUACGGUUCAGUAACACGUGGGUAACCUGCCCUAAAUUUGGUGAUGACAUUUGGAAACAGAUGCUAAUACCGCUUAAAACCUAACUCCGCAUGGUGUAGGGUUGAAAGAUGUUUUCUUCUUUCACUUUUGGUUGGCCCCCCGGUGCGUUAGUUAGUUGGUGAGGUAAAGGCUCACCAAGACCGUGAUGGAUAGCCGACCUGAGGGGGUAAAGGGGGACACUGAGAGUGAGACACGGCACAGAGACCUAGGGGAGGCAGAAGUAGGGAAUCUUCGAAAAAGGACGAAAGACUGAAGGAGCAACGCAGCGUGGAUGAAGAAGGUUUUCGGAUCGUAAAACUCUGUUGGUGGAGAAGAAUGUAUCUGAUAGGAACGGAGCAGGUAGUGACGGUAUCCAGACAGAAAGCAACGGCUAACUACGUG
This 520-nucleotide ribosomal RNA is filed under the name uncultured bacterium. RNAcentral's name for it is "partial 16S ribosomal RNA". It matches the Rfam family "Bacterial small subunit ribosomal RNA", at positions 28 to 507 of the family's 1533-position model. The record is from RNAcentral.